Molecule: ribosomal RNA, 228 nt
Filed under: Gambierdiscus australes
Lineage: Eukaryota; Dinophyceae; Gonyaulacales; Pyrocystaceae
Description: partial Bacterial large subunit ribosomal RNA
Rfam family: Bacterial large subunit ribosomal RNA
Source: RNAcentral
CCCGUAACUUCGGGAGAAGGGGGACCUCUCAUCGGGCAACCGGUGGGGGGUGGCACAGAGUAGGGGGUGGCGACUGUUUACUAAAAACACAGGGCUCUGCGAAGUCGCAAGACGACGUAUAGGGUCUGACGCCUGCCCGGUGCCUGAAGGUUAAAAGGAGGGGUGAGAGCUCUGAAUUGAAGCCCAGGUAAACGGCGGCCGUAACUAUAACGGUCCUAAGGUAGCGAA